Molecule: ribosomal RNA, 937 nt
Filed under: Halomonas caseinilytica
Lineage: Bacteria; Pseudomonadati; Pseudomonadota; Gammaproteobacteria; Oceanospirillales; Halomonadaceae
Description: bacterial SSU rRNA
Rfam family: Bacterial small subunit ribosomal RNA
Source: RNAcentral
UGCAAGUCGAGCGGAACGAUCCUAGCUUGCUAGGAGGCGUCGAGCGGCGGACGGGUGAGUAAUGCAUAGGAAUCUGCCCGGUAGUGGGGGAUAACCUGAGGAAACUCAGGCUAAUACCGCAUACGUCCUACGGGAGAAAGCAGGGGCUCUUCGGACCUUGCGCUAUCGGAUGAGCUUAUGUCGGAUUAGCUGGUUGGUGAGGUAACGGCUCACCAAGGCGACGAUCCGUAGCUGGUCUGAGAGGAUGAUCAGCCACAUCGGGACUGAGACACGGCCCGAACUCCUACGGGAGGCAGCAGUGGGGAAUAUUGGACAAUGGGGGCAACCCUGAUCCAGCCAUGCCGCGUGUGUGAAGAAGGCCCUCGGGUUGUAAAGCACUUUCAGUGAGGAAGAAGGCUUGUCGGUUAAUACCCGGCAAGGGAGACAUCACUCACAGAAGAAGCACCGGCUAACUCCGUGCCAGCAGCCGCGGUAAUACGGAGGGUGCGAGCGUUAAUCGGAAUUACUGGGCGUAAAGCGUGCGUAGGCGGCUUGAUAAGCCGGUUGUGAAAGCCCCGGGCUCAACCUGGGAACGGCAUCCGGAACUGUCAGGCUAGAGUGCAGGAGAGGAAGGUAGAAUUCCCGGUGUAGCGGUGAAAUGCGUAGAGAUCGGGAGGAAUACCAGUGGCGAAGGCGGCCUUCUGGACUGACACUGACGCUGAGGUACGAAAGCGUGGGUAGCAAACAGGAUUAGAUACCCUGGUAGUCCACGCCGUAAACGAUGUCGACUAGCCGUUGGGGUCCUCGAGACCUUUGUGGCGCAGUUAACGCACUAAGUCGACCGCCUGGGGAGUACGGCCGCAAGGUUAAAACUCAAUGAAUUGACGGGGCCCGCACAAGCGGUGGAGCAUGUGGUUUAAUUCGAUGCAACGCGAGACCUUACCUACCCUUGACAUCG